This 441-nucleotide ribosomal RNA is filed under the name uncultured bacterium. Its description in RNAcentral is "partial 16S ribosomal RNA". It matches the Rfam family "Bacterial small subunit ribosomal RNA", at positions 338 to 795 of the family's 1533-position model. The record is from RNAcentral.
CCUACGGGGGGCAGCAGUGGGGGAUAUUGCACAAUGGGGGGAACCCUGAUGCAGCGACGCCGCGUGGGUGAAGGAUUGCUUCGGCAUGUAAAGCCCUAUCGGCAGGGAAGAAGCAAGACGGUACCUGACUAAGAAGCCCCGGCUAACUACGUACAGGCAGCCGCGGUAAUACGUAGGGGGCGAGCGUGAUCCGGGUUCACUGGGUUUAACGGGAUCGUAGACGGCCAUGGAGGCCAGGGGUGAAAUCCCGAGGCCCAACCCUGGGACUGCCCUUGGAACUGCAUGGCUGGAGUGCGGGAGGGGCAGGCGGAAUUCCUGGUGUAGCGGUGAAAUGCGUAGAUAUCAGGAGGAACACCGGCGGCGAAGGCGGCCUGCUGGACCGCGACUGACGUUGAGGCUCGAAAGCGUGGGGAGCGAACAGGAUUAGAUACCCCAGUAGUC